This 453-nucleotide ribosomal RNA is filed under the name uncultured Paracoccaceae bacterium. RNAcentral describes it as "uncultured Rhodobacteraceae bacterium partial 16S ribosomal RNA". The record is from RNAcentral. Lineage: Bacteria; Pseudomonadati; Pseudomonadota; Alphaproteobacteria; Rhodobacterales; Paracoccaceae.
CACGGAGUUAGCCGGGGCUUCUUCUGCUGGUACAGUCGUUAUCUUCCCAGCUGAAAGAUCUUUACAACCCUAAGGCCUUCAUCGAUCACGCGGCAUGGCUAGAUCAGGCUUGCGCCCAUUGUCUAAGAUUCCCCACUGCUGCCUCCCGUAGGAGUCUGGGCCGUGUCUCAGUCCCAGUGUGGCUGAUCAUCCUCUCAAACCAGCUAUGGAUCGUCGGCUUGGUGAGCCGUUACCUCACCAACUACCUAAUCCAACGCGGGCCGAUCUCUUGCCGAUAAAACUCUUUCCCCCGUAGGGCACAUACGGUAUUACCCCCAGUUUCCCGAGGCUAUUCCGUAGCAAGAGGCACGUUCCCACGCGUUACUCACCCGUCCGCCGCUAGGUCCGAAGACCUCGCUCGACUUGCAUGUGUUAGGCCUGCCGCCAGCGUCGUUCUGAGCCAGGAUCAAACUC